GAGUUAAAGAAGAAACCAGCCGUUUCUCACCUUACAGCGCGUAAUGCUGCUGGUAUGGUUAUCAAGGAUUUGAAUAUAAAUCCUUUAUUAUACUUUUACUAUUGGAGUUUAAGAGACGGCGUGUGCCGUCUCUUUUUUAUAUGU
This is a non-coding RNA of Clostridium tyrobutyricum DIVETGP, 144 nucleotides long. The record is from Rfam. Lineage: Bacteria; Bacillati; Bacillota; Clostridia; Eubacteriales; Clostridiaceae.